Molecule: ribosomal RNA, 486 nt
Filed under: uncultured bacterium
Lineage: Bacteria
Description: partial 16S ribosomal RNA
Rfam family: Bacterial small subunit ribosomal RNA
Source: RNAcentral
AUUGAACGCUGGCGGCAUGCCUUACACAUGCAAGUCGAACGGCAGCACGGGUGCUUGCACCUGGUGGCGAGUGGCGAACGGGUGAGUAAUACAUCGGAACAUGUCCUGUAGUGGGGGAUAGCCCGGCGAAAGCCGGAUUAAUACCGCAUACGAUCUACGGAUGAAAGCGGGGGACCUUCGGGCCUCGCGCUAUAGGGUUGGCCGAUGGCUGAUUAGCUAGUUGGUGGGGUAAAGGCCCACCAAGGCGACGAUCAGUAGCUGGUCUGAGAGGACGACCAGCCACACGGGAACGGAGACACGGCCCAGACUCCUACGGGAGGCAGCAGUGGGGAAUUUGGGACAAGGGGCGAAAGCCUGACCCAGCAAUGCCGCGUGUGUGAAGAAGGCCUUCGGGUUGUAAAGCCCUUUUGUCGGGAAAGAAAUCCUGCCCCUUAAUACGGCGGGGGGCUGACGGUACCGAAAGAAUAAGCACCGGCUAACUUCGUG